Molecule: non-coding RNA, 21 nt
Filed under: Caenorhabditis elegans
Lineage: Eukaryota; Metazoa; Nematoda; Chromadorea; Rhabditida; Rhabditidae
Source: RNAcentral
UCUUCGUUUUUUCAGUUUGAA